GGCCCAACUCAAAAUCCUACCACGGUGCUCUUCACCGAGUGUCGAGGUGGGCCGGUACGUUUACUUUGAACAAAUUAGAGUGCUUAAAGCAGGCUCAUUCGCCUGAAUAUUCUGUGCAUGGAAUAAUGGAAUAGGACCUCGGUUCUAUUUUGUUGGUUUUCGGAACUCCGAGGUAAUGAUUAAUUGGGACAACUGGGGGCAUUCGUAUUGCGACGUUAGAGGUGAAAUUCUUGGAUCGUCGCAAGACGGACAGAAGCGAAAGCAUUUGCCAAAUGUGUUUUCAUCAAUCAAGAACGAAAGUUAGAGGUUCGAAGGCGAUCAGAUACCGCCCUAGUUCUAACCAUAAACGAUGCCAGCUAGCGAUCCGCCGAAGUUCCUCCGAUGACUCGGCGGGCAGCUUCCGGGAAACCAAAGCUUUUGGGUUCCGGGGGAAGUAUGGUUGCAAAGCUGAAACUUAAAGGAAUUGACGGAAGGGCACCACCAGGAGUGGAGCCUGCGGCUUAAUUUGACUCAACACGGGAAACCUCACCAGGCCCGGACACCGGAAGGAUUGACAGAUUGAGAGCUCUUUCUUGAUUCGGUGGGUGGUGGUGCAUGGCCGCUCUUAGUUGGUGGAGCAAUUUGUCUGGUUAAUUCCGAUAACGAACGAGACUCUAGCCUGCUAAAUAGGCGUACUUUCCGGUAUCUCGAAGGCCCGCCGGCUCGGCUUCGGUCGUUGUCGUGUGUGGUUUUUACUACCGGCGUACACAUAUAUCUUCUUAGAGGGACAGGUGGCAUUUAGCCGCACGAAAUUGAGCAAUAGCAGGUCUGUGAUGCCCUUAGAUGUUCUGGGCCGCACGCGCGCUACACUGAAGGGAUCAGCAGGUUUUCCUUGGCCGAAAGGUCCGGGUAAUCCGUUGAAGCCCCUUCGUGCUAGGGAUUGGGGCUUGCAAUUCUUCCCCAUGAACGAGGAAUUCCCAGUAAGCGCGAGUCAUAAGCUUGCGUUGAUUACGUCCCUGCCCUUUGUGCACACCGCCCGUCGCUACUACUGAUGAAUGAUUUAGUGAGGUCU
RNAcentral lists this ribosomal RNA (1051 nucleotides) under Nycteridopsylla iae. RNAcentral's name for it is "SSU rRNA". It matches the Rfam family "Eukaryotic small subunit ribosomal RNA", at positions 692 to 1709 of the family's 1831-position model. The record is from RNAcentral. Lineage: Eukaryota; Metazoa; Arthropoda; Insecta; Siphonaptera; Ischnopsyllidae.